GAAACCUUACUUUUCAACAUUUUACCACCUUUCUCAAACUUAACCACAUUUUUAUAAUCUACAUCAAAUAUUUAUUUGAUAUUCAAUCAUAUCUCAACAAUAUAUUGAAUAACAAUAAAACAAUGCAUUAAUUCACAUGCAUACUUAUACAGGGGCAGGAUAUCCCCGGAAUAUCCCGAAAGAGUUUAUACCGGACAGGGAUAUCCCCGGAAUAGCUUAUACAGGGAGGGGUAUCCCCCGUUAUUCGUCGAGUGGAAAAAGGAAAAUCAAAUACAACAGGACAACUAAAAAUCUGUACCGAAUUCAAGCUACACCCAAUAACCCCCAGCCCCAACAAUAUUCUGCCGGGCAAGAAAUAAAAAGAACAACUCACUGAAAAUAAAUGCAGAAGGGCAAAGACAAAAUCAGCUUUAUAAUAUAUUAUAUUUAUCUGAGUGUGUUCCAUACUAUAUAUUUAAAAUAAAUAGGUAAACCCGAAACAAUUGUUGGCUUUGUUUAAAGCCCUCCAUUCAUUAUUUUGACGGAUUAUUAACUUGAAAGCUUCAAAAGCUUGUUUAUUCGAGGUGAUUUCUCCAAAACUCCUGAAAAGGUAUUUUCCCUGAACUCGAAUAAUCCUAAACUGGCCUAUCACAUGCCGGACGCUGUAACAUCAUCAAAACUGAGUGGGACAAGGUAAAUAGAAAACUCUUUACCCUUUUUAAGCAAUGAAGCAGGAGUAUCCCUGGAGUCCGAUGCAUUGUCAAGAACAUAAGAUCUAGCAAUCCCAAGAAAGAUACAGUCUGAGGAUUAUGGGGAGAACCUACAAAGGUGAGAAAAUUUUAAUGAUUAAAAUUUUAAUGAUCAAGAACAUAAGAUCUAGCAAUCCCAGCAAUACUCUGCUGAGCAAGAAAUAAAAAGAUGUGACAAAAACUCACUGAAAAUCAGCUUCAUAAUAUAUUAUAUUUAUCUGAGUGUGUUCUGUAUUAUAUAUUUAAAAUAAAUAGGUAAACCCGAAAAAACUGUUGGCUUUGUUUAAAGCCCUCCAUUCAUUUGUUUAACGGAUUAUUGACUUGAAAGCUUCAAAAGCUUGGUUAUUCGAGGUGAUUUCUCCAAAACUCCUGAAAAGGUCUUUUCCUGAACUAGAAUAAUCCUAAACUGGCCUAUCACAUACCGGACGCUGUAAUAUCAUCAAAACUGAGUGGGACAAGGUAAAUAGAAAACUCUUUACCCUUUUGAGGCAAUGAAACAGGAGUAUCCCUGGAGUCCAAUGCAUUAUCAAGAACAUAAGGAAGAUCUAGCAAUUCCAAGAAAGAUACAGUCUGAGGAUUAUGGGGAGAAACUGCACAAGGUGAGAAAAUUUUAAUAAUUAAAAAGGAAAUCGAGCAAAAUCAAAUUGCAAAACUCAGGACUAUUCUAGUAGCAAAUCUAAAUAAAAAAGAAUGCAGUGUUUUGUAACGACUGUGACAGUAAGUGGCAUAAAUAUGCAAACAUAUAUGGUGAGUUUCUUAAAUCCAAAAGAUAGAACCAUUAAUGGAGAUACUUUUUGCACCUCAAAGAAGGAAAAGCAUCAAAAUAUCACCAUAUUAUUUACCAGAAAAAGUAGCGUUUGAAACUGAAUCAGAGGGUUUGUGAGGUGGAGCUGUUUGAGAAAAUUCACAAGGUUUGGCUUUUCUGUCCCAUUGACGACAAUCUUGCAUGUCGAGCUGUG
This 1687-nucleotide long non-coding RNA is filed under the name Gossypium barbadense (sea-island cotton). Its description in RNAcentral is "long non-coding RNA (GBAR_LNC023062)". Lineage: Eukaryota; Viridiplantae; Streptophyta; Magnoliopsida; Malvales; Malvaceae. The record is from RNAcentral.